CCACGACUCCGAUUGGCCGAUCUCGACUCAUCCUAUUAUUUAUUAACAGCGUAUGAAUGGAAUACGGCAAACUGUGAUAUUUGGCCGACGUUCGGCGUCCACCGCAAGAACUAAACGCGAACGAACGAACGGAAAACCGCGUCCAAGAAACUGGUCGUUUUAAGAUUUAGUUCGCGAAUCCGGGGGAUUGAGACUGAUUUUUUUUCUCGUCUCGUAUCGCGAAAAGUGGAACUGAUUCGGGAUUCCAAAGAUGGACGAGAUCCUCAUCCGGUGGUGGCGGAUGCCGAGGUGUUGCGAUACGUAGAAUAAGUCGUCGGUUGCGAAAAUUUUUCUUUUAAGAGUUGCCGAUGUUGUUGCUGGACAAAAUGGAGGAGGGGCCCGAUCUGUCUCACCUUACUCCUGAGGAGAGGGCCAUCAUUGAAUCGGUGAUGAUGCGUCAACGACAGGAGGAGGAACGAGAACAGGAAAUUAUGAGACGAAAGGCCGACGAAGUUCAGAUACUGGAAGACACGAUAAGGUCUAGGAGCGAGCAGCACAAGAAGGCCGGCAUCGAACUGGACGCCACGUGCCACAUAUGUCUCAAGACGAAGUUCGCGGACGGAAUCGGACACAUAUGCAACUACUGUUCGAUUCGAUGCUGUGCCAGGUGCGGUGGAAAGGUCACGCUUAGGUCCAAUAAGGUUGUGUGGGUUUGUAUUCUUUGUCGAAAAAAACAAGAAUUGUUGAGUAAAACCGGUCAAUGGAUGAGCGGUGGAAUAAAUUUGGUCGAAACGGAAAUACCUCAACAACCGCAACAGAUUCCACCAUUUGAUAAACGACCGAAACUGGAAAGGGCGCAUUCGGCGGCCGAAAAGGAAAACCAACCUCUUCAGCGAUCCGGAAGUGCCCUUAGAAGGCAAUAUUCGGAGCAAGAAUCGGCUAAUCCUCCGUGCGGGUACAACGAAGAUGAUCCAAGAUUUUAUCAGGGCGAGAUUGAGGGUCUUAUGCGAACUCAUCCACAUCUCGUACCUAGAAGAUAUCCAGAUCCUGAACCAGAACCCUCACCAAUGGAUAUACCUCAAAGAGGUGUAUCCAGUAUGGGUAGUGCCAAUAAAAAGAAAAGGAUCGCGUCAGCAAAAAAACAUCACCACCCAUCUCAUCCCCAACUGCAAGCAUCCUUUUCAUCGUCGGAGGAGGAUCUAAAAUCGACGCCCGAAUACGGCAGCGACGAGAGAGACAGCGAAAAGGGGGGUAAUGGAGAUUGGCCACCGUUGAGCCAUUACAUCAUGGCACCUCAACAACAUCGUCCCCUACAAGAUGUUACAGCUGACAACCGAUGUUUCACCGAGAGAAGAAAGAAAACGGUUCGUUUCGAUCAACACGAGGCAUGGGAUAGACAGGGUUCGCAGGAUAGUCAUCGGGAUUCUGGAAUUGAUACAUCUUCUACUUUCACGUCUAGCGAGGAUUCGACACGAGGCGACAUGCCAAAGCAUCCGUUAUCUUGGCAAGUAUCCGCGGAUGGGACCCGAAUGAUCGGUCAUAUGAUUCUAAGAAAAGGUACAUCUAGAGAAGCGACCGGUUCUAGUGCUGUUCUGCUAGGUUUAAAAGUAGUUGGUGGUAAAAUAUUAGAACAUGGUUACAAAGGAGCUAUUAUUGAAAAAGUGAAAAAAGGCAGCAUAGCGGAUGUUGAAGGCCAACUAAAAGCAGGCGAUGAAGUUAUUGAAUGGAAUGGUAGGUCAUUACAAGGAAAAAGUUACCAAGAGGUAGCUGAAAUCAUUGCCGAAAGUAAACAAGAAGCUAAUGUCGAAUUAAUAGUAUCUAGAAGUAUGGGAAGUAGAAGAGCUGCUCAGGCCAGUUGGAGACAGUCUGUGGCUCAUAGAGGUCAAGCCCAAUGGGUAGAAUCGGAAGGUUAUGAACGACCACACGUUCUAGUUACAUCACCAGGAAGUCCUGAACGACCAAGACCCGGUCCAACGAUGCCUCCAAGUGUCGGAGGACGCGUUCAAUUACGAAUAGUCUUCGAACCAACCACAUUACAACUGUUAGUGACGAUAAUUUGCGCAUCUGGCCUUAUGCCAAGAUCGCCACAUCAACAACGGAAUCCUUAUUGCAAACUAUUCCUCUUACCGGAUCGAUCGGAAAAAUCUAAAAGAAGAACGAGAACGCUCGCUGGUACAACUGAACCAAUGUGGAACCAAACCUUCGUUUACUCAGGUCUUAGACGGGCCGAUUUAAAACAAAGAGCUUUGGAAAUAACCGUUUGGGACUAUGAAAGAUAUGGACCAAAUGAUUUCCUCGGUGAAACCGUCGUAGAAUUAUGGUCUUUUGAAGAUGUUCCUAUGUGGAAACAGUUAGGUGCACAUGAAGAAGUUGCUUUAACGCCAAGCGAACAUCUUUCUCCUCCAAGCACCGGUUCGAGAUUUUCCGAUUCUGAUACUCCAUCUGAAUGCGAAAUUGAUGGUGGAAGAGAGCGAAGAGGAGCUGAUGGCGCUAGUGUGAGUAGUGUUGGUAGUUCUACUAGUCCACCAAGAGAAUCUGAUAGGAGAUCUAGAAGGGACCAGGAAACUAUGUCGAGUUAUUCACAAACAGCUUAUAGAAAGAGUGGAAUGGCGAAUCAAAGAUCUCAUUCGGCGGCUCCAUGUGAAUCCCCAAGUAUGCACAUGUCUAGAUCACGUUCAAAAUCUCCUAGAAGAUCAGCAACCGAUCAUCGAUCUCUAUCACCUCCAGACGUCCGGAUAGAAUACCCACCUUCUUCUUCCUACUCAACUAGAUUCCAAUCGCGAUCAGCAACGGCAACACCAACAGGUUCUCCAAAAAAGCGUCAUCUUCCCCAAGUACCACACGCUUUAGCACGUGCUAUACAAGAUCGGGUUUCGCAACAAGACUUCGACGAACGUCCUUCGCAUCACGGAGGAGGACACAGUGGCCACGGAGGUGGACGACAUCGCGUACGAUAUCACGUGCCAACGUAUCGGAUGACCGGAACAGGUUGGGAGAGACGUCUAAGCGGGCUUAGUGACAGUGAUUUGGCAACUCAUUCGAGAACUAGGAGGGCCCUGUCGCCGGAUCGAGGCGAUAGGGAUCCCUCUGCACUCGUUGAUUUUGAUAGUGAUAUGGAAUCGGUUGCGUCGGUGACGAGCAGUGCUUUUUCGACACAAUCGGAGCGACCAAGAGGAAAUACAAGAAUAGUCAGCGCUGAUUAUGGGACCGGAAGUGAUAGAUAUCCUUACGCCACGCACAGACAUCCAUCGACGAGAAGUAGAGAUAGGGAACGAGAACGCGAGCGAGAUCAUGAACCUGAACAAAUGGAUCAUCAUCAGUAUCAUAGACAGCAUAGAGAUGGAAGUGUUAAAAGGGGCCAAUUUACCAGGAGUUUGUCCAAUAAUGAAACUCCAGCUGAUGAAAAAGCAGACGGUAGUUUGAGUGAUACAGCCGUUGGUCAAUUGCACGGAUUGGAGGUGCCUCAAAAAGAACCAACUAGAAAAGAUAGUCACCGUGAACGCGAUAGAGAUAGACAAAUUCAAUUUGGUGGACUCAAUAAAAAAAGCAGUUCAACAAGUCAACUGUCGGCAACAGACAGCGGAUACAGUACUAGAAAAAGAUCGGCCUCAAACAUUCAACGGUCCCAGGAAGUGGUUCCUGCGAGAUCUUCGGAUACCAGUCAAAGAGCUUCAAGUUUGAACUCGAUCUCUAGCUCGGAGGGAUCAUCAUUGGCAGGGGAAGGGGGUCAAUUGGCAGAAUUCAUCGAUGGUUUGGGACCUGGGCAAUUGGUAGGAAGACAAGUCCUUGGUGCUCCUGCUUUAGGAGAUAUCCAAUUGUCGUUGUGCUAUCAAAAAGGAUUUUUAGAGGUUGAAGUUAUAAGAGCUAGAGGACUUCAAGCUAGACCUGGAUCUAAAGUAUUACCAGCACCUUACGUAAAAGUUUAUUUGGUAAAUGGAAAAAAGUGUAUAGCAAAAGCGAAAACAUCGAUGGCAAGACGUACUUUAGAUCCUCUCUAUCAGCAGCAAUUAGCAUUUAAGGAACCAUUUCAAGGCUGUGUAUUACAGGUGACAGUAUGGGGCGAUUACGGUCGAAUAGAAGGUAAAAAAGUGUUCAUGGGUGUAGCCCAGAUUAUGUUGGACGAUUUAAACUUAAGCAACAUCGUCAUCGGAUGGUACAAGCUCUUCGGGACGACGUCCUUGGUUAGUGGACCUUCCUCGAUCAGCCUUUCACGCAGGAGUUCAAUGGCUAGCCUAGAUUCCCUUAAACUAUAACCGGAUUUAUCCCGUUACGAUAACGAUCUCACCUCAUUGUAGCUUUUUAUAGAAACGUCAUGUGAAACGCUUUGAAAAAGUAACCGAAAUCCGCUUUCACACUCCCUCUUUGUGCCUUGUUUCGUUAUAAAUGGUUCCUUAUUCACCCCUCAGCUACUUGUCAUCAUCUGAUUUCUUAUAUUGCAGACUUCGAACGCUGACCGCCGUGUCGUUUAGUGAACUAUGAAGAAAAGGUCGUCCAAAAGGAGAACGACGAAAGACUGAAGCGGAGAAAUCGCAUCGGUUGUUACAUAAACUACAUCAUCAUUUGUAAAAAGCUAGAAUAUGAACCAUAUACUUAUGAUUAUAUCCCAGAAUGAAACAGCUAAAUAAAUAAAUAAACGAAGUAUUUCAAUGAUCGCAAAAUGGUGCGUACUUAAGAAUUAUAGAUUAUGACUUGUAGACGUUAAAAAACAUGGGAUAGUGUGAAUCUAGUUCAAUAAGAGGCUAAAAAUACUUAAUAUAAAUAUUAUAUAAAAUGAGGAGGAAAUCGUCUAGGAUAUAUGCGCACACAUAAAGACAUAACUGAAUCAUAUCCAUUAUUAAAUUAUAAUGAAAUACGUUGUAUGUACGGAAGUGUGUAAAAAUAAUCGCUGAAUAUUUAAAAGGAUGAGGAUAACUUUUACUUGCUUCCGUAUAAUGGCUUUAUAAUGGAAUUGAUAACCGCUUUUUUACUUGAAAUAAAAUAAUAAAAUUUCAAAAACGAAAAAAAACCAUCUAUAAAAUAAAUCUAAACAUUAGAUAGAUAGAACAAAAUAUGGAAACGAAAGUUAAUGAAAAUAACGAUUAAAAAAAGAACUAAAAGAAACUUGUAUUAUAUGUAUUGUACUUAGGCCCACAUGAACAACAAAAAAAAAUUCAAACAAGAAAAUGUAUAUGAUGAACGUUUGUUGUAACAUAUAAAAAUACUAAUUUGAGAUGAAUUAAUAUUAGUUGUUAAAUUGCAUGUGAUAUAAAAAAAGAAAACCGGUGUUACGAUAUGGCCGUGCUCUUUUUCCCAUCAUUUUCUCGCUUAAAGCGUAAUAUUUAACUGAAAGGUGAAAAUAAAAUAGUUACGAAUCGUGAUGUGUCACUAAAUUAUCUCACCAUAUGAUGAGAAAAUGAAUACUUUUGAAUUUUAAUUCAUCAUCAUCAAUGACCCGACAACCCUCUUUGAGUUCAGGACAAUUUAUCAAUAAAAAAUAUUUAUUUAAGUGUCCUCAAUCAUUUCUGAAAAUUAGUUAUUUUGUAACAUCCUGUAUAUGGCGCAGUAUAUCUAUAAAAAUCUCAAUACAUGUUUUAUUGGGUCACAAUUAUACAAUACACUGAGAUAAGGAACCAAUCUCCAAUAUAUCUGGUAUUGUUCACCUCACCUCUUACAGAGCAGUGAUGCUUAGUUUAUAUCUUUCUAUUUCGCUUAUAUAUCAUUCCAUUUCUGCUUUCCAUACGGAUUUCGACGGAUCACCAAUUUUUUCAUGUUAUCGAUCUAAAUUACAUAUUAUGGUGAGAGAAUUUAGGUACUCAUGUAUAAACAACUAUUUUUAUGAAGGAUUUACUUUAAUUUUUAAAAUUUUUUAAAAAAUUCUUUUUAUUUAUAUAAAAAAAAAUCCUUCCGUACAAAAAGUUGUUAAAAAUUUGAAAGUUACUUUUCGAAUUCGUGUAGAUACCAAUAUAAACCUCUCUAUCAGACAGUUUUUUCAGACAUCAGCUCGGUGCCAUUUCGUCCCUUUUAAAUAUUAAAAUAAUUCUGUAAAUAAUAUAAAAAAGAAUAAAUCCUGGGUUUGCUUGAAAACAUACAGUUCAGAGUUGAGUUCGUAAUCCUAAGGUUACGACUACCAUUAAAAAAAAAAAAGAAGAAACAAUAGUUUAGAUUUUGUACGCGAAAUAACUAUAUUAUUAUUAAAAAUAAAUUAAAUAAUAAAAAAAGAAAACGUGGAGAAAUAAAAAUUAAAUUAAAAAAAGUAUUUAAGUAUAACAUCACACGUGUAAAUACAUUAUAAAAGAAGACCCCUUGAAAAAAAAAGAAUAAAAAUAAAAACGUGUACGAACCCGUCGUUUCGUUAUUAAUUAUCAUUAUGAUUAAAUUAUUAUUAUUAUUAUUACUCUACGAUUAACACCUAAACAAAAAUUCGUCAGCAAAAUUCGAGGUAAAAUGUUAAAUUAUUAAAAGAAACUAUAAAAAAAAACGAUGUGUCGCUGUAAAGUAAAGGGCUGGUUGGAAAUGAAGUGUUAAUUUUUUUUUUUAAUUAAGAAAAUGAGAUAAAUUGAUAAAGUAAGUUAUUGGGCAAGAGCGGCACUUCAUUAUUUCCCCAUCCCUUUUCGCUUAUAUGACUUGUAUGCUUUGUAAAAUUGACCGUACGACGACAGCAUAUCAUAAUGGGAGGUGUCGAGAGGAAAUAGUCCACAUUUAUGUCCGUCUGACACAUUCACUUUGACUGAUGUAUCCAUUUUACCCAGCCCAUGGGCAUGACAAUAAAUAAAUGAUCUAUGAAA
RNAcentral lists this unclassified non-coding RNA (6743 nucleotides) under Onthophagus taurus. RNAcentral describes it as "regulating synaptic membrane exocytosis protein 2, transcript variant X6". Lineage: Eukaryota; Metazoa; Arthropoda; Insecta; Coleoptera; Scarabaeidae. The record is from RNAcentral.